UCGCCCUUUGAGUUUGAUCCUGGCUCAGAUUGAACGCUGGCGGCAGGCCUAACACAUGCAAGUCGAGCGGUAACAGAGAGAAGCUUGCUUCUUUGCUGACGAGCGGCGGACGGGUGAGUAACGCGUAGGAAUCUACCUAUUAGUGGGGGAUAAGCCAGAGAAAUUUGGUCUAAUACCGCAUACGCCCUACGGGGGAAAGGAGGGGAUCUUCGGACCUUUCGCUAUUAGAUGAGCCUGCGUAAGAUUAGCUAGUUGGUGAGGUAAAGGCUCACCAAGGCGACGAUCUUUAGCUGGUCUGAGAGGAUGAUCAGCCACACUGGGACUGAGACACGGCCCAGACUCCUACGGGAGGCAGCAGUGGGGAAUAUUGGACAAUGGGGGGAACCCUGAUCCAGCCAUGCCGCGUGUGUGAAGAAGGCCUUCGGGUUGUAAAGCACUUUCAGAUGUGAGGAAAGGUGUGUGCUUAAUACGUACAUACUGUGACGUUAGCAUCAGAAGAAGGACCGGCUAACUCCGUGCCAGCAGCCGCGGUAAUACGGAGGGUCCGAGCGUUAAUCGGAAUUACUGGGCGUUAAGCGCACGCAGGCGGUUUGUUAAGCUAGAUGUGAAAGCCCCGAGCUCAACUUGGGAUGGUCAUUAAAACUGGCAGACUAGAGUCUGGGAGAGGGGAGUGGAAUUUCUAGUGUAGCGGUGAAAUGCGUAGAUAUUAGAAGGAACAUCAGUGGCGAAGGCGACUCCCUGGCCAAAGACUGACGCUCAUGUGCGAAAGUGUGGGUAGCGAACAGGAUUAGAUACCCUGGUAGUCCACACCGUAAACGCUGUCUACUAGCUGUGUGUGUCUUUAAGACGUGCGUAGCGAAGCUAACGCGCUAAGUAGACCGCCUGGGGAGUACGGCCGCAAGGUUAAAACUCAAAUGAAUUGACGGGGGCCCGCACAAGCGGUGGAGCAUGUGGUUUAAUUCGAUGCAACGCGAAGAACCUUACCUACACUUGACAUUCAGCGAACUUAGCAGAGAUGCUUUGGUGCCUUCGGGAACGCUGGGACAGGUGCUGCAUGGCUGUCGUCAGCUCGUGUCGUGAGAUGUUCGGUUAAGUCCGGCAACGAGCGCAACCCACAUCCCUAGUUGCCAGCAGUUCGGCUGGGCACUCUAUGGAAACUGCCCGUGAUAAGCGGGAGGAAGGUGUGGAUGACGUCAAGUCCUCAUGGCCCUUACGGGUUGGGCUACACACGUGCUACAAUGGCAGUGACAAUGGGUUAAUCCCAAAAAGCUGUCUCAGUUCGGAUUGGGGUCUGCAACUCGACCCCAUGAAGUCGGAAUCGCUAGUAAUCGCGUAACAGCAUGACGCGGUGAAUACGUUCCCGGGCCUUGUACACACCGCCCGUCACACCAUGGGAGUGGACUUCACCAGAAGUAGCUAGCUUAACCUUCGGGAGGGCGGUUACACGGUGGGGUUCAUGACUGGGGUGAAGUCGUAACAAGGUAAC
This 1486-nucleotide ribosomal RNA is filed under the name uncultured bacterium. RNAcentral describes it as "partial 16S ribosomal RNA". It matches the Rfam family "Bacterial small subunit ribosomal RNA". The record is from RNAcentral.